CUAAGUUGAAGUCACUGUGCUGGGCAAAUGCAGGAUUCUUCUCACUAAGGUCCUAUGUCCAUUCUGCCCACGGAGGUUGGCUUUCACAUAUGAAAAGCAAUCAAUUUUGUCAUUCCUCUGCCCAAGGACUUACCAUGGCCAACUUGGCAUUCCUGGACCUGACUCUGACCCUCUUUUUUUUCAUCUUGCCUAACUUGUUUUCUGACUCAUUCCAUUUAGGUCCCUCUGCUUUCCUAGAUGUUCCUUGAAGUGUGAGCUACACAUUUCCUCCUCAGGCUUUUUACCUAUGUUUCCCUCUGAUUAGAAUGUUCUUCUUGGAGAUGUCCACAUUACUCACUUCCUCUUGUCCCUCCUGUCUUUAUUCAAAUGACACUUUGGAAGAGAGGGUUUUUUGGCCAUGCUAUCUGGAAUAGCACACUGCACACAGGCCCUGCCUCUUCCAUCUCACCCUGCCAUCUUCUUUCUCAUAGUGCUUACUACCUACCACCUGUCACAUUCUAUUUAGUUGAAUCAUAUAAAAUUUCCUGUUGUUGGAUCAGGAAUAUCUGAUUGGUCAUUUUGUGUGGUCCAACCUAAAUACAUAUUUAUUAACUUCUCUAUUAUUUUUAUUCCUUUCCUUCUGCUACCAUUUAAACUCUAAGAGUUCAGCUAUUUAUUAUUAUUAUUAUUACUAUUUAAAUCUGCAGUAUGUAGAAUAUAGUAGGCACUUAGAAAAGUGUUUUAAAAAAUGGAAAUGAAGAAGAAAAUUGUUGGAAUUUGUCGGUAAUAAGCAGAGAAAGUUUAUAUGGGAAUUCAUCUUUGUGUGUGUGUGAUUUGAAAGGUAUUCUAAAAAUGUUGAUUGGAAAGGCUUCUGAGUGAGUCCAGAAAAACUGAAGGAUAAAUUUGGAUCCAUGUUAAAGUAUAAAGUUUCUAAUUUAAACUGUGGGCUAUCUGUAGACUUCAAUUAUAUAUUUGUUUUCACCUUGUUUUAUAAAACAGAUAAGAGAGAUAAUACAGAUUUUGGAUAAUAUAAUUCUGAAAUUUUAAAGUUUUGCAAUUGGUAAGUUAUAGAAUUAGCUUUUCAAAUGUGACAUAAGUUGAUUUUGACUAGGAAAAAGAAAUUACUUUUUUACUUGUAGUUCUGGAAAUUUGGUUACUAA
Molecule: long non-coding RNA, 1139 nt
Filed under: Marmota monax (woodchuck)
Lineage: Eukaryota; Metazoa; Chordata; Mammalia; Rodentia; Sciuridae
Source: RNAcentral